AGCGAACGCUGGCGGCAGGCCUAAAACAUGCAAGUCGAACGCCGUAGCAAUACGGAGUGGCAGACGGGUGAGUAACACGUGGGAACAUACCCUUUGGUUCGGAACAACACAGGGAAACUUGUGCUAAUACCGGAUAAGCCCUUACGGGGAAAGAUUUAUCGCCGAAGGAUUGGCCCGCGUCUGAUUAGCUAGUUGGUGGGGUAACGGCCCACCAAGGCUACGAUCAGUAGCUGGUCUGAGAGGAUGAUCAGCCACACUGGGACUGAGACACGGCCCAGACUCCUACGGGAGGCAGCAGUUAGGAAUCUUGGACAAUGGGCGCAAGCCUGAUCCAGCCAUGCCGCGUGAGUGAUGAAGGCCUUAGGGUUGUAAAGCUCUUUCAGCGGGGAAGAUAAUGACGGUACCCGCAGAAGAA
RNAcentral lists this ribosomal RNA (415 nucleotides) under uncultured bacterium. Its description in RNAcentral is "bacterial SSU rRNA". It matches the Rfam family "Bacterial small subunit ribosomal RNA", at positions 29 to 489 of the family's 1533-position model. The record is from RNAcentral.